AGUUGGCCGGGGUAAGAGCCCACCAAGGCGACGAUCGGUAGCUGGUCUGAGAGGAUGAUCAGCCACACUGGUACUGAGAUACGGACCAGACUCCUACGGGAGGCAGCAGUGGGGAAUAUUGCGCAAUGGGCGAAAGCCUGACGCAGCAACGCCGCGUGGGUGAUGAAGGCCUUCGGGUCGUAAAGCCCUGUCGGGUGGGAAGAAACCUGGGAAACCAGCUGACGGUACCACCAAAGGAAGCACCGGCUAACUCCGUGCCAGCAGCCGCGGUAA
This 273-nucleotide ribosomal RNA is filed under the name uncultured delta proteobacterium. RNAcentral's name for it is "partial 16S ribosomal RNA". It matches the Rfam family "Bacterial small subunit ribosomal RNA", at positions 247 to 523 of the family's 1533-position model. Lineage: Bacteria; Deltaproteobacteria. The record is from RNAcentral.